This is an RNA transcript of Carya illinoinensis, 2337 nucleotides long. It is a transcript of the gene named heat shock factor protein HSF30, with no coding region annotated. NCBI's taxonomy places the organism in Eukaryota, Viridiplantae, Streptophyta, Magnoliopsida, Fagales, Juglandaceae. The transcript is spliced from 3 exons. The record is from RefSeq and is a predicted model, not a curated record.
UUCCCUGUCUGUUUCAAAAAGCGGGUUCACACACACUCUCUCAAAGCAACUUCAGUCUUUGCGAGGCUCAGAACUCGCAUUCUUACUUCUUUUAUCACUGUAAGGAGGAAGUUAUGGAAGGAGUGAUGGUUAAGGAGGAAGAAACGGUGACAUGUGCUUUGGGAUCAUCGACGUCUUCUUCGUCUGCCAGCUUCUCACCUCAGCCAAUGGAGGGGCUGCACGAUGUGGCGCCGCCUCCGUUUCUGACAAAGACCUUUGAUAUGGUGGAAGACCCUUCGACGGACUCGAUUGUAUCGUGGAGCACAGCUCGCAACAGCUUCGUCGUUUGGGACUCCAGCAAGUUCUCCACCACUCUUCUUCCUCGGUACUUUAAGCACAGUAACUUCUCCAGCUUCAUUCGCCAACUCAAUACAUAUGGUUUCAGAAAGGUUGAUCCUGAUCGAUGGGAAUUCGCAAAUGAAGGGUUUCUAGGAGGGCAAAGGCAUUUAUUGAAGACCAUCAAGCGGAGAAGACAUGUCGGCCAAGGUUUAAAUCAACAAGGAGGAGGAGGAGGAGGAGCUUGUGUCGAAUUGGGAGAAUAUGGCUUGGAAGGCGAUCUUGAAACAUUAAGGAGAGAUAAAAGUUUGUUAAUGGCGGAGAUUCUAAAGUUGAGACAGCAGCAACAGAAUUCGAGGGAGGAAAUCAUUGCCAUGGAGGAUAGGUUACAAGCCACUGAGAGGAAACAACAACAGAUGAUGACUUUUCUUGCUAAAGCACUCAGCAACCCAACCUUCAUCCAGCAAUUUGCUCAGAGAAGAGAACUGCGAAGUGUUGAAAUAGGACGAAAGCGGAGGCUGACUGCACGCCCCAGUGCGGAGGAUUUGCAGGAAGAAGUGGUGUCUGUCACGGCAGGCAGUGGCCUGGAUGUGGACCACACAAGCCAAGAACAUGACGAAUUGGCGACAAUGGAGUCAGAAAUAGAGACGUUUCUCUUAUCUUCCUGGGACAAUGAAUCGAGCAGCGAUAUCAAAGACCCAAUUGCAAGUUUAAUUCCCACAGGAAGUGGCGGCAAUUUGGAUUUUGUAAACGAGACAAUAUGGGAGGAGCUACUGAAUGAAGAUUUGAUUUCUGGAAAUGCAGAAGAAGAAGCUGUGGUGGAUUAUCAAUCAGAAAUCGAAGCAGAAAUAGAGGAUUUGGUUGCACAACCAGCCAACUGGGGUGAGGAUUUGCAAGAUCUUGUAGAUCAACUGGGUGAUCUCAGGUCGAAGACACGACCAAACUCAUAAAUGAUAUAUUGAUUGAUGUUGUGGUGUUUUGUUUGUUGGGUUGGUCUCUGCAACUCUAUUCCUUUAUCUCAUUUAGCAGGGAUGGUGAGAGUUGCUAAGAGACCAACAUAUCCAGCUCUCCUGUAUCCUUUACUAAGUUUUCCAAGUAUUGUUUAACUUUUCUGCUGCACUUGAAUCAGUUCUCGAAUUUGUGAUUUGUUGUUUCUUUUUCUGCAUUUUGCAGGCGGACUGGGCAUGGGAAAUUACGAAGGAGGGGUUUCCUUCACUGAUUCACAUCUCGAAGAUUUAGUUACAGUCUCCAGCUUAUAUAUGAAUUAUUUGAUCCAUUACUCCAAGCUUUAGUAGUUAACAGUUCGAUUCGGUUGAUAUCUAUGCGUGUAGAUAUCAGCCAUGUACUAAGAAUUUCUGGUUUAAAUUCGUAAUAUUGCUUUCAUAAUCAUUUAUCCUUUUUUUAAAUUAACUAAUUUUGGUUUCUGAGUAUGGUCAGUUGUUGCUGCAUGAUGAUCAUUUCACUCUCUUAUAGCUAUAUGUUUCAGCUCAUUGCUUGUUGCCUAGUUGGAUACACGUGCCGCACCUACUUCCAUUUGAGUAAGAUUUUUCCCCAUAAUGGUCAAGCUACUGCAGGAUAUCGUAUUCUUCUUUGCAGCUAUUCAGAAUACACAAGCCAUGGAAGUUCCAAAGAGAAACAGUCUAACAGAGAUUCAAGUUGGGGAUACCUCUUCUCUUCAACUUCUCUGCAAUGAAAAGGGAAAAUAAGAAGGAUGGAGAAUAAGUAAAGCCUGGCCUAUUAAUUGGCAAAUUACACCCCACCAUGGAUUGGUGUGAAUGAAUUUCUUCUCAAGAUUUGAGUGGUUGAUGGGAAUUUUCAGAAGUUUUUACACAAAGAAGUCCCCUUUUUGCUAAAUCAUAGGCUGCUCGUUUAAACAAGCAACGAGUUUCUUGAAAGUUCUAUUAAUGUGCCGAGAAAGUCCGUUUGGGCUUUCUCUUGUUUGUUUUCUUGGUGAUGGCAACUGUUAAAAGAAGAUGAGUCCGAUGGGGAUAAUGAUAAAGCAGUGCAUUGGUCUUGUUUUUA